UGACCGCUGGCGUCGUGCCUAAUACAUGCAAGUCGAGCGACCGGACGAGAAGCUUGCUUCUCUGAUGUUAGCGGCGGACGGGUGAGUAACACGUGGAUAACCUACCUAUAAGACUGGGAUAACUUCGGGAAACCGGAGCUAAUACCGGAUAAUAUUUUGAACCGCAUGGUUCAAAAGUGAAAGACGGUCUUGCUGUCACUUAUAGAUGGAUCCGCGCUGCAUUAGCUAGUUGGUAAGGUAACGGCUUACCAAGGCAACGAUGCAUAGCCGACCUGAGAGGGUGAUCGGCCACACUGGAACUGAGACACGGUCCAGACUACUACGGGAGGCAGCAGUAGGGAAUCUUCCGCAAUGGGCGAAAGCCUGACGGAGCAACGCCGCGUGAGUGAUGAAGGUCUUCGGAUCGUAAAACUCUGUUAUUAGGGAAGAACAUAUGUGUAAGUAACUGUGCACAUCUUGACGGUACCUAAUCAGAAAGCCACGGCUAACUACGUG
RNAcentral lists this ribosomal RNA (495 nucleotides) under uncultured bacterium. Its description in RNAcentral is "partial 16S ribosomal RNA". It matches the Rfam family "Bacterial small subunit ribosomal RNA", at positions 30 to 507 of the family's 1533-position model. The record is from RNAcentral.